RNAcentral lists this transfer RNA (71 nucleotides) under Abia zhui. RNAcentral describes it as "tRNA-Cys". The record is from RNAcentral. Lineage: Eukaryota; Metazoa; Arthropoda; Insecta; Hymenoptera; Cimbicidae.
AAUUUUAUAGUUAAAUUAAUAACAUUAAAUUGCAAAUUUAAAAUUAUAAUAUUUUAUUAUUAUUAAAAUUU